GCUGGGUGUGGUGGCGCGUGCCUGUAGUCCCAGUUACUUGGGAAGCUGAGGCGGGAGAAUCACUUGAGCCCAGGAGGUCGGGGCUGCAGUGAACUGUGAUCAUGCCACUGCACUCCAGCCUGGACAACUGAGAGAGAGCCUGUCUAAA
This 148-nucleotide non-coding RNA is filed under the name Gorilla gorilla gorilla (western lowland gorilla). Lineage: Eukaryota; Metazoa; Chordata; Mammalia; Primates; Hominidae. The record is from Rfam by way of RNAcentral.